AUUGAACACUGGCGGCAGGCUUAACACAUGCAAGUCGAGCGGGGGAAGGUAGCUUGCUACCGGACCUAGCGGCGGACGGGUGAGUAAUGCUUAGGAAUCUGCCUAUUAGUGGGGGACAACAUCUCGAAAGGGAUGCUAAUACCGCAUACGUCCUACGGGAGAAAGCAGGGGAUCUUCGGACCUUGCGCUAAUAGAUGAGCCUAAGUCGGAUUAGCUAGUUGGUGGGGUAAAGGCCUACCAAGGCGACGAUCUGUAGCGGGUCUGAGAGGAUGAUCCGCCACGCUGGGACUGAGACACGGCCCAGACUCCUACGGGAGGCAGCAGUGGGGAAUAUUGGACAAUGGGGGGAACCCUGAUCCAGCCAUGCCGCGUGUGUGAAGAAGGCCUUAUGGUUGUAAAGCACUUUAAGCGAGGAGGAGGCUACUCUAGUUAAUACCUAGGGAUAGUGGACGUUACUCGCAGAAUAAGCACCGGCUAACUCUGUGCCAGCAGCCGCCGUAA
Molecule: ribosomal RNA, 501 nt
Filed under: uncultured bacterium
Lineage: Bacteria
Description: partial 16S ribosomal RNA
Rfam family: Bacterial small subunit ribosomal RNA
Source: RNAcentral